CUGGGUAAUGCCCAGUGCGGGUGACCGUGAGGAGAGUGCCACAGAAACACACCGCCGAUGGCCGGUUCUGCCGGCACAGGCAAGGGUGCAAAGGUGCGGUAAGAGCGCACCAGCAGCAUCGAGAGGUGCUGGCUCGGUAAACCCCGGCUGGGAGCAAGGCCAAGGAACGACGGGUGGCCAUCUUCCCCGUUCCGCCAAAGUGCGCCGCUCGAGGUCGUCGGUAACGGCGAUCCCAGAUAGAUGAUCACCCCCCUUCCUUGGAAGGGUGAACAGAACCCGGCUUAUGUCCUGCUUUCACCC
Molecule: RNase P RNA, 300 nt
Filed under: bacterium
Lineage: Bacteria
Description: partial RNase P RNA component class A
Rfam family: Bacterial RNase P class A
About the family: Ribonuclease P (RNase P) is a ubiquitous endoribonuclease, found in archaea, bacteria and eukarya as well as chloroplasts and mitochondria. Its best characterised activity is the generation of mature 5'-ends of tRNAs by cleaving the 5'-leader elements of precursor-tRNAs.
Source: RNAcentral